This is a long non-coding RNA of Lynx canadensis (Canada lynx), 147 nucleotides long. RefSeq lists it as uncharacterized. The transcript has 2 exons. The record is from RefSeq and is a predicted model, not a curated record. Lineage: Eukaryota; Metazoa; Chordata; Mammalia; Carnivora; Felidae.
GAUACCAUCUGGGACCCCACUCAUAAGGUGAUCAAAUCUCUCGCAGCCCACAUCUCCAGCUCCUGGGAGGUUAGGAGCACAAUACCUUGCUGAGUUUUUCUAUUUGGCGCUCUAGCUCUGGGAUGCUUGAUGCUGUGGCAUCAACCU